GACGAACGCUGGCGGCGUGCCUAACACAUGCAAGUCGAACGGAGCUGUUUUGACUGAUCCCUUCGGGGUGACGAUGAUUCAGCUUAGUGGCGGACGGGUGAGUAACGCGUGAGCAACCUGCCUUUCAGUGGGGGACAACAGUUGGAAACGACUGCUAAUACCGCAUAAUAUCCUUUUGGGGCAUCCCUUUUGGAUCAAAGAUUUAUUGCUGAAAGAUGGGCUCGCGUCUGAUUAGCUAGUUGGUGGGGUAACGGCCCACCAAGGCGACGAUCAGUAGCCGGACUGAGAGGUUGAACGGCCACAUUGGGACUGAGAUACGGCCCAGACUCCUACGGGAGGCAGCAGUGGGGAAUAUUGGGCAAUGGGGGAAACCCUGACCCAGCAACGCCGCGUGAGGGAAGAAGGUCUUCGGAUUGUAAACCUCUUUUACCAGGGAAGAAGAAAGUGACGGUACCUGGAGAAAAAGCCACGGCUAACUACGUG
This 483-nucleotide ribosomal RNA is filed under the name uncultured organism. RNAcentral describes it as "bacterial SSU rRNA". It matches the Rfam family "Bacterial small subunit ribosomal RNA", at positions 28 to 507 of the family's 1533-position model. The record is from RNAcentral.